AGUAAAAUAUAUGAGACAAUUCAUAUGGACCAAUAACAUUGUCAUGAGAACAAAUAUCCAAUUUAGUUUGAUAAAUAAACAAGAACGAAAAACUGCAAUUAAAAAAGGUUCACAUAUACAUUUCACUAAAGAUGACUAAACUACACAUUCUACAACUAAGAUAAAAAAAUAGAGAUAAAAAAUGUAUGAAGCUGAUGACAACACUCAAUCUAUGAGUUUUUUCAGACCCAGAACCAAUUAAAUAAGAACAGGAGUUAAACUCAGUAUACAAAAAACCCAACAAACAAAAACAUGUUAUGCAGAAACAAAAAUCUCAACUACAAAAGUAACCUCAGAACAAAGGUUGCUGUCAUAGGAAGUGUAGUAACACCAAGUAGGUUCUCCCUGAAGCAGGGUCUUGGAUCAACUACAACCUCUAGCAAGUUGGAUUGGAAAAUCAUCGGUUACCGUAGCCAAAUUUUAUAAUAAAUUAUAAAAACUAAAAAUAAAUUAUAAAUUCUUUGAAAAGUACACAAAAUACACGUAUAAUGCCUCAGUAAAAUCCGAUGAUGUCAUAUGAAUGAAGCUUCACCAAGUAGGUUCUCCCUUAAAAAGGGUCUUGGCUCCACAGCACCUCAUAAAGUUGGAUUAAAUCAUCAUCAGCAAUCUCAAGCAAAGAAAUCCACGCUUUUUCAAACAAACAGAAUUACAUAAACAAAGAAUAAUAAAAUACUACUGGCUCAGAGAUAAACAGCUCUAUCAAUCACAAAUUUUCAGAAGCAGAACUGGCAUAUAAAGCUGAAUAGAAAUCCUCAUAGCCAAUUAUUAAAAAAAAAAAAACAAGUUGAAUUUGCAAUAUACCAAUAUUUAGAACAUGAAAAACAUGGCUCAUAUAAAGAAAUUCAACCAUUUUUAACCAAUUUCACUUCAUCGAGAAAACUCAGAAGCGCGGAUAAUGUAUAAUCAUGGCCGAGAAAUUCUAAAAUAAUUAAAGAAAUAAAUCUACGAUCGAGAAAGCUAUUUAAGGAUCAUUUCGGAAGGAACGGAGGAAGAACCCUCGGACCAAGUAAAAACGACCGCGCUUAGAUUUGCAUGUUGGAUUAGGAUUCCUCAAUCAUAUAAUGAAAUGAUUAAAUAAUAAUGAUUAAAUAAUAAUGAUUAAAUAAUACCUGGUAGACCCGUGAUCGUAUGACUGAGGGACGAAGACAUGAUCUUAAUCGGGUUUCCUGGUAGACCCGUGAUCGUAUGGCUGAGGGACGAAGACAUGAUCCUGAUCGGGUUCCCUUUAUGGUGUAUCGCUUAGAAUGGAAUUUUGUGAGUAGAGAGACAAAGAGAUGAGAGGCUUGAAAAUCCCUUUAGGAAAUGAGUUUCGGUGAUCUUGGAAUAUGAGAGUGUCUCUUUAGUUGUCUGGUAAUCUCUAUUUGUCUGACCCAAGGGAAACCCUAAUUAUUUAUGUAGUAAUUACGUCCAUCAAGUAAUUACCAAUAAUAUAAUAGGAUAAUUAUGGUAAUUGAUCAAUUAAUAAGAUAAAUAAUCGUGAGGUGCCACAUAAUAUUCUUUUACAUUGCGCCUUUAGAACUAACACCGAUUUCAGAGAAGACGUCUGGUGUUCGAAAAGAAGGUAUGCCACACAACAAUCGUAAAUAAGAGAUAGAAAUUGAAAAGAGGAAUUUCACCGUUACUUUGACACAGAUCAACUGUGGAAAAUUGGGGAUGAACUGCAACACGAACGGCGAUGAUUUCGCACGUGCAUCGGGGCGUUCACGUCAUGUGGAUUCAAGAUGCCCGGGAGGCACCGUGCGGACAAGAAACUAAAAUGGAAAAUAUAAAAUCUGAGAUAUGCCAAAAUAUGUGGGGGAAAUCGAAUGUAAACUGGGUACAUAAAAAGACUAACAAUGGGGCAGGGGGAAUUCUUACCAUUUGGGAUAAUAGUGUUUUUAAAUUAGAAGAUCAUUACCUAGGAAAUGGCUUUAUUAUUGUUCAAGGGAUAAUGCUUAAUGAAAAUCAAUUAAUUGUUGUGGUAAAUGUGUACUCUGCAUAUAGUGUAAGUGAAAAAAAGAAUAAUGUGCGAGGAACUUUUAAAAUUUAAAGAAAAAAACCAUAUUAAGUUGUGGUGUAUACUUGGUGACUUCAAUGUCAUGAGAAAACAAGAUGAGAAAAUAGGUUGUCAACCUCUGGAUUCAUACAAAAACAAAAUGAAGGACUUUAGUGAGUUAAUUGAAAACAUAAAUGGGGAGGCAAAAUCAAGAUUGGAUAGGACACUAAUGUGGAAUGGAUGGAUGUUUGGCCACAAUGUAAAUAAUAGGCUUUAAAUAGAAUGGUAUCCGAUCAUUGGGCUUUAAUUAUAAAACAAUCUUAACAAGAUUGUAUGACUUAGACAGAUAUCCCUAGUUGACAAUUUUUACAAAAUCAUAGCAAAAAUUUUAGCUAGAAGACUACAAAAAAUCGUGCAUUGAUCAUAAACUAUCAGCUUUCAUUUAAGGAAGGAGCAUUGAUAAUUGUGACAAAUGAAGUUAUAGAGGAGGUAAGAAAGAAGAACUGGCAUCAUUGUUAAGGCUGGAAACUGGAAUUUUCUAUUUUAUAUGUUAAAAAAGUUGGGGUUUAGAAAUACAUGGAUUAAAUGGAAUAGAAGUUUCUUAGAAUCAUCAUCUAUAUCCAUACUUGUCAAUAGAAGCCCUUCUAAACAAUUCCAACCUACAAAGGGCCAAAGGCAGGGUGACCCUUUAGCACCAUCUCUAUUUCUUAUAGUGGCUAAAGGUUUAGUUGGAGUCAUGAGAGUAACCGAACAAAAAGGACUCUAUGAUGGCAUUAGAGUGGGUUUGGAUCAAAUUGAGGAUAAUGUGUACAGUUGUUACAGUUUGUCGAUGAUAUCUUUUUUUGUGAGGAUAAUGUGUAAAAGAUCAAAAGAAAUAAAUGCACUCGAUGUUUCGAAUUUGUGUCUAGGUUGAAGGUGAACUUUAGAAAAAGUAAAAUCGCAUGUAUAGAUGCACAACAUACAAAUAUUCUAAGAUACUCUACGAUUUUAAAUUGUAAUCAAAAGCCCUUUUAAAUAUUUAGGAGUUCCAAUGGGAGAUAAUCAUAGAAAAAAAGUGUUCUGGAAUGAUGAUAUCAAAACUUAAAAUCAAGCUUUCUAGUUGGAAAAGAAAACAAUUAUCUUUUGCUGGAAGAGUUACUUUAAUAAAAUCUUUCAUUUCAUUUCAGCUGUUCCUUUAUAUUAGUUAUCUCCAUUCAAAAUGUUUGGGUCUGUUCCUUUAUAUUAGUUAUCUCCAUUCAAAAUGUUUGGGUUAAAUUCAAAAUGUUUAGGGGUUAAGUGAGACUUUCUAUGUCAAUCCAAAUGAGAUGGACGAAAAGGAAAUAAGGAUGCAAGUCUGUUUAAUACGGAAAUUGAGAGUUAGAUGAUACUGUUGCGUACUCAAUCUUAGUGGUGAAGAAGUACUGCAGAGAAAACUCAAAUUCUUGUUUUGAUAAUAAGACAAGUUAUGCAGAGAGUAAUAUCCUGUUUUAGACUAAUUAUUGAAUAUCCUGUUUUAGACUAAAUAUUGGAUAGGGAAUUACUCCCAUGUGAUUCAAAUUCAGUUUAAAGGAUGUGUUUGCAAGAAAGAAGAGGAUUUAUAAAUUGAUUCCUUAGCUUCUUAAGAUCUAUGAUUACAAAUUUUACAAAGGAAAACUACAACAAUACAUCAGGAUUCUUAUUCUCUUUCGUGUUGUUCCUCUCAGGGCAACCAAUCUUAACAAUUAGAACAAUUAGAAAACCUCUCCAGAACAAUUAAAGUUCACGAAUCAACAUAAAGAAUUUAGAGUGGACGCUUAAAAAUCAAUUAUCACAAGUUCACUCUUCACUAGUAGAUAUGUAUAAAUCUAAACAUGAAUGAAAAAGGAUUUUAUAUAAAAUUAAAUGUUUUGAUAUAUCAUUCGUAUUUACUUCGUUGUUAUGUUCCUCACCCUUAAGGAUUUUUCAGUUACUCAGAUUGAUCUUGGCAUGUAAAAUAAGAAUGUUGCCAAAAUAAUCUUCAUAGUAUCAGGUCACAAUAAUCUUCAUUACUUUGAGUAUCAAUUCAAUCAGCCACAUUAUUCUUUUUAUUCAUAGUGGCAAACUACAUUUUGAAAAAUCAGUUGUGUUGGUGAACAACCAGUUGAAGAACAUUCGCAAGUGGCAAACAUGCGCGGAUUAAUAUCAAUCAUAAAUUUACUUAUUAAAUUAAUAUUACUUGACACGAAACCUUUGUGUAUCUAUUUUAUAAGUUUCUUGGUAUAUUUUAAGGAAAAUGCAUUUGUACUUUAUAAUAAUGGAACAAAUAUCCAAUUUAGUUUGAAAAAUAUACAAGAACGAAAAACUGCAAUUAAGAAAGGUUUACAUAAACAUUUCACUAAAGAUGACUAAACUACACAUUCUACAACUAAAAAUAGAAAAAAGAAGAUGAAAAAUGUAGUGCUGUUAUUUAACUCCUAACUCGUGGAUACAAGAGAUGAAGCUGAUGACAACACUCAAUCUAUGAGUUUUUUCAGACCCAGAACCAAUUAAAUAAGAACAGGGUAUAGUUGGAUUGGAAAACCCAACAAACAAAAACAUGUUACGAAGAAACAAAAAUCUUAACUAUAAAAGUAACCUCAGAACAAAGGUUGCUGUCAUAGGAAGUGUAGUAACACCAAGUAGGUUCUCCCUGAAGCAGGGUCUUGGAUCAACUACAACCUCUAGCAAGUUGGAUUGGAAAAUCAUCGGUUAUCGUAGCCAAAUUUUAUAAUAAAUUAUAAAAACUUAUAAAUUCUUUGAAAAGUACACAAAAUACACGUAUAAUGCCUCAGUAAAAUCCGAUGAUGUCAUAUGAAUGAAGCUUCACCAAGUAGGUUCUCCCUUAAAAAGGGUCUUGGCUCCACAACACCUCAUAAAGUUGGAUUAAAUCAUCAUCAGCAAUCUCAAGCAAAGAAAUCCACGCUUUUUCAAACAAAUAGAAUUACAUAAACAAAGAAUAAUAAAAUACCACUGGCUCAGAGAUAAACAACAGCUCUAUCAAUCACAAAUUUUCAGAAGCAGAACUGGCAUAAAGCUGAAUAGAAAUCCUCAUAGCCAAUUAUUAAAAAAAAAAACAAGUUGAAUUUGCA
Molecule: long non-coding RNA, 5079 nt
Filed under: Phaseolus vulgaris (common bean)
Lineage: Eukaryota; Viridiplantae; Streptophyta; Magnoliopsida; Fabales; Fabaceae
Description: long non-coding RNA (PVUL_LNC000157)
Source: RNAcentral